RNAcentral lists this unclassified non-coding RNA (932 nucleotides) under Hevea brasiliensis (rubber tree). The record is from RNAcentral. Lineage: Eukaryota; Viridiplantae; Streptophyta; Magnoliopsida; Malpighiales; Euphorbiaceae.
AUAAUAAUAAUAAUAAUAAUAAGAGGCACAUUUGGUUCACUUUGAAAAUGGGAAUGGAAAUGAUUCUCGCCUAUUCCAAGAUUCUUGUAACAAUUUCACGUGUUAGAUAAACAAAUAUAAUUUGAUGGAACUAUAAACACGUACAGCCAUUAGUCCACACACCAUUGCUAAUUGCCUAUGACAAGCACAACUUACCCUUCUCUUUUUGUCAUGAAGUCCAUGAAUCCAUGUAGAUACCAAUAUUUUAGUCUUAUUUAUUAAAAAAAAAUCCAUCAGAUUUGUGAUGUCAUUACUAAACAACAGAAAAAACAAGUUAUUAUUCCAGAAAAUGUUUUUCCAAUAAAAUAUUUUCCACAGAGUAACAGAGCCUAAAUUUGAUGAUGUUUUCCCCUAAAUUCAAGGUAUUCACAUAAAAAAUAUUACUAGAAAAUUGGAAUUCUUGUGUAUCAAACAAGAAAAUGGAAUCCCACUCCAGAAAUUGCAUUCCAUUUCAAAUAUUUUUAAAUUUAAAAUGCUUAAAAGAACUUCAUAUUACUUCCAACACUGAUAUUGAAAGCUCCAAGGACAACUGCCUUAAAAAUAUUGAAGAUUUUUCCAUUGUCUUAUUCACUAGGAAAGCCACAAAGGGAAGGAGGCAGACUCAGAACAAUUCUUGCAACACUAAGGUGCAAACUAGGCCCAAUAGCUAUAAUUUCAAUUUCUUGACUACAAUUGGUACAAAAACAAACGGCAAUACACAAUUAAACAUCACCAAAAGAGAGUUCCGGUAUGAUGACUUCAACACCAACUAAGUAGAAAGCCAGCCUAGGGCUUGAGACUUAACUGUACGUCUAAUCACUGACUGAUGUCUUCGCUGACAUUCAAAAGCCAUGAAGAAAGACACAGAAGGAAGAAGCAUUAAAAAACUAUAGAUGGCUUGCAAGAUUGAGAGU